RNAcentral lists this ribosomal RNA (253 nucleotides) under Acetobacteraceae bacterium. RNAcentral describes it as "partial 16S ribosomal RNA". It matches the Rfam family "Bacterial small subunit ribosomal RNA", at positions 524 to 776 of the family's 1533-position model. RNAcentral also lists the same sequence under 1 other name. The record is from RNAcentral. Lineage: Bacteria; Pseudomonadati; Pseudomonadota; Alphaproteobacteria; Acetobacterales; Acetobacteraceae.
UACGAAGGGGGCUAGCGUUGCUCGGAAUGACUGGGCGUAAAGGGCGCGUAGGCGGAUGGCACAGUCAGAUGUGAAAUUCCCGGGCUUAACCUGGGGGCUGCAUUUGAUACGUGUUGUCUAGAGUGAGGAAGAGGGUUGUGGAAUUCCCAGUGUAGAGGUGAAAUUCGUAGAUAUUGGGAAGAACACCGGUGGCGAAGGCGGCAACCUGGUCCUUGACUGACGCUGAGGCGCGAAAGCGUGGGGAGCAAACAGG